ACAUGCAAGUCGAACGAACGGAGGAAGAGCUUGCUCUUCCAAAGUUAGUGGCGGACGGGUGAGUAACACGUGGGCAACCUGCCUGUAAGUUGGGGAUAACUCCGGGAAACCGGGGCUAAUACCGAAUAAUAAGUGGUGGCGCAUGCCACGGCUUUGAAAGAUGGUUUCGGCUAUCGCUUACAGAUGGGCCCGCGGUGCAUUAGCUAGUUGGUAGGGUAAUGGCCUACCAAGGCAACGAUGCAUAGCCGACCUGAGAGGGUGAUCGGCCACACUGGGACUGAGACACGGCCCAGACUCCUACGGGAGGCAGCAGUAGGGAAUCUUCCGCAAUGGACGAAAGUCUGACGGAGCAACGCCGCGUGUAUGAAGAAGGUUUUCGGAUCGUAAAGUACUGUUGUUAGAGAAGAACAAGGAUAAGAGUAACUGCUUGUCCCUUGACGGUAUCUAACCA
RNAcentral lists this ribosomal RNA (451 nucleotides) under Listeria welshimeri. Its description in RNAcentral is "bacterial SSU rRNA". It matches the Rfam family "Bacterial small subunit ribosomal RNA", at positions 53 to 485 of the family's 1533-position model. Lineage: Bacteria; Bacillati; Bacillota; Bacilli; Caryophanales; Listeriaceae. The record is from RNAcentral.